GAUGAGCGCUAGCGGGAGGCUUAACACAUGCAAGUCGAGGGGCAGCACGAGGUAGCAAUACUUUGGUGGCGACCGGCGCACGGGUGAGUAACGCGUAUGCAACCUACCCUGUACAGGGGGAUAGCCCGGAGAAAUUCGGAUUAAUACCCCAUAAUGAUAUUAAGAGGCAUCUCUAUAUAUUUAAAGUUUCGACGGUACGGGAUGGGCAUGCGUGACAUUAGCUAGUUGGUAGGGUAACGGCCUACCAAGGCUGCGAUGUCUAGGGGUCCUGAGAGGGUGAUCCCCCACACUGGUACUGAGACACGGACCAGACUCCUACGGGAGGCAGCAGUGAGGAAUAUUGGUCAAUGGGCGUAAGCCUGAACCAGCCAUCCCGCGUGAAGGAAGACGGCGCUAUGCGUUGUAAACUUCUUUUCCGGAGGAAUAAAAUUUCGUACGAGUACGGGACUGAAGGUACUCCGGGAAUAGGCAUCGGCUAACUCCGUGCCAGCCGCCGCUGUAA
This 502-nucleotide ribosomal RNA is filed under the name uncultured bacterium. RNAcentral's name for it is "partial 16S ribosomal RNA". It matches the Rfam family "Bacterial small subunit ribosomal RNA", at positions 28 to 523 of the family's 1533-position model. The record is from RNAcentral.